UUAUUUUUUAAAUAUAAAUUUUUCUAUUAGUUUCAAACUAUAUACAUUUACAUCUUUGAUAUUAUAUUGUGGCAGGUAAAAAAUGAAAUGUAAAUAAGAAUCAAGAUAUUGUGGUGAUAUUAUUAAAAUCUCCAUUGAAGUAGUAAUGGGAA
This is a long non-coding RNA of Aricia agestis (brown argus), 152 nucleotides long. RefSeq lists it as uncharacterized. The transcript is spliced from 3 exons. The record is from RefSeq and is a predicted model, not a curated record. NCBI's taxonomy places the organism in Eukaryota, Metazoa, Arthropoda, Insecta, Lepidoptera, Lycaenidae.